GAUGAACGCUGGCGGCGUGCCUAAUACAUGCAAGUCGAGCGCGACUGAUUACACCGUUCUUCGGAACACCGUCAUCAUCGAGCGGCGGACGGGUGAGUAACACGUGGGCAACCUACCCUUAAGACUGGGAUAACCGCGGGAAACCGUGGCUAAUACCGGAUAAUACUUUUAUACAACGGUAUAGAAGUUGAAAGGUGGAUUUCUAUCACUUAAGGAUGGGCCUGCGGCGCAUUAGCUGGUUGGUAAGGUAACGGCUUACCAAGGCGACGAUGCGUAGCCGACCUGAGAGGGUGAUCGGCCACACUGGAACUGAGACACGGUCCAGACUCCUACGGGAGGCAGCAGUAGGGAAUCUUCCGCAAUGGGCGAAAGCCUGACGGAGCAACGCCGCGUGUGCGAAGAAGGUCUUCGGAUCGUAAAGCACUGUUGUUAAGGAAGAACGACAGUAAGAGUAACUGUUUACUGUGUGACGGUACUUAACCAGAAAGCCACGGCUAACUACGUG
Molecule: ribosomal RNA, 505 nt
Filed under: uncultured bacterium
Lineage: Bacteria
Description: partial 16S ribosomal RNA
Rfam family: Bacterial small subunit ribosomal RNA
Source: RNAcentral